Molecule: ribosomal RNA, 253 nt
Filed under: uncultured bacterium
Lineage: Bacteria
Description: partial 16S ribosomal RNA
Rfam family: Bacterial small subunit ribosomal RNA
Source: RNAcentral
UACGUAGGUGGCAAGCGUUAUCCGGAAUUAUUGGGCGUAAAGCGCGCGCAGGCGGUUUCUUAAGUCUGAUGUGAAAGCCCACGGCUCAACCGUGGAGGGUCAUUGGAAACUGGGGAACUUGAGUGCAGAAGAGAAAAGCGGAAUUCCACGUGUAGCGGUGAAAUGCGUAGAUAUCUGGAGGAACACCGGUGGCGAAGGCGGCAUCCUGGACCGAGAUUGACGCUGAGGCGCGAAAGCCAGGGGAGCAAACGGG